This 28-nucleotide small RNA is filed under the name Bombyx mori (domestic silkworm). RNAcentral's name for it is "ovarian small RNA-2723". The record is from RNAcentral. Lineage: Eukaryota; Metazoa; Arthropoda; Insecta; Lepidoptera; Bombycidae.
GCAAUCAAUAAUGGCGACCGAUGAUUGC